CUCUCCUUAGCUCAGCUUGGUAGAGCGCUUGGUUUGGGACCAAGAGGUCGUAGGUUCAAAUCCUACAGGGGAGA
This 74-nucleotide transfer RNA is filed under the name Exiguobacterium sp. BMC-KP. RNAcentral describes it as "tRNA-Pro". It matches the Rfam family "tRNA". Rfam says of the family: Transfer RNA (tRNA) molecules are approximately 80 nucleotides in length. Their secondary structure includes four short double-helical elements and three loops (D, anti-codon, and T loops). Further hydrogen bonds mediate the characteristic L-shaped molecular structure. tRNAs have two regions of fundamental functional importance: the anti-codon, which is responsible for specific mRNA codon recognition, and the 3' end, to which the tRNAs corresponding amino acid is attached (by aminoacyl-tRNA synthetases). tRNAs cope with the degeneracy of the genetic code in two manners: having more than one tRNA (with a specific anti-codon) for a particular amino acid; and 'wobble' base-pairing, i.e. permitting non-standard base-pairing at the 3rd anti-codon position. The record is from RNAcentral. Lineage: Bacteria; Bacillati; Bacillota; Bacilli; Caryophanales.